UCUGUAGUGAGAGGCAGCGUGAUGAGAACGGCCCAUAGGGCAGGAGUCUAUCUCCUGUUUCUGUAGUGAGAGGCAGCUUGAUGAGACCGGCCCAUAGGGCAGGAGUCUAUCUCCUGUUUCUGUAGCGAGAGGCAGCGUGAUGAGAACGGCCCAUAGGGCAGGAGUCUACCUCCUGUUUCUGUAGUGAGAGGCAGCUUGAUGAGAACGGCCCAUAGGACAGGAGUCUAUCUCCUGUUUCUGUAGUGAGAGGCAGCUUGAUGAGAACGGCCCAUAGGGCAGGAGUCUAUCUCCUGUUUCUGUAGUGAGAGGCAGCGUGAUGAGAACGGCCCAUAGGGCAGGAGUCUAUCUCCUGUUUCUGUAGUGAGAGGCAGCUUGAUGAGAACGGCCCAUAGGGCAGGAGUCUACCUCCUGUUUCUGUAGUGAGAGGCAGCUUGAUGAGAACGGCCCAUAGGGCAGGAGUCUACCUCCUGUUUCUGUAGUGAGAGGCAGCUUGAUGAGAACGGCCCAUAGGGCAGGAGUCUACCUCCUGUUUCUGUAGUGAGAGGCAGCUUGAUGAGAACGGCCCAUAGGGCAGGAGUCUAUCUCCUGUUUCUGUAGUGAGAGGCAGCUUGAUGAGAACGGCCCAUAGGGCAGGAGUCUACCUCCUGUUUCUGUAGUGAGAGGCAGCUUGAUGUACAAGUACCACCUCUUGGACAGGAUGCUGGCCUAUCACAGGGCCUUAACCCCUGGACAGGACGCCAGCCUAUCACAGGGCCGUACCCCUGGACAGGACGCCGGCCUAUCACAGGGCCGUAUCCAGGACGCUUGCCCAUCACAGGGCCGUACCCAGGACGCUAGCCCAUCACAGGGCCGUACCCAGGACGCUAGCCCAUCACAGGGCCGUACCCAGGACGCUAGCCUAUCACAGGGCCUUAACCCCGAUCUUAUCUCCUUAAUGCUGAAUGUCAAGCGGAGACUUGUCAGGUUUUUCUUCGGUUUGACUCGACCAGAGAUUGAAUUCAUAACUUUCCAAUCUCAGGACACUGUAACCACAAGGCCACUGAGUUGGUCUAUGAGGCAGUUAAACAUGACCUUUAUGAAUUAUGAAGCCUUUAUGUGCUUGUUUGGAUUAUAUAAAGUGACGUUAGCUGAUCAAGAUGAUCCAAUAGAAUAAUGCAUCAGAACUCCUAAACCACAGACCUUAUUUUCAGUGUUUAUUCAUAAAAAACACACGUUUUGACCAAUGAGCCUCUGUUAAUAGAGCCCCACAGUGGAGGUGUCAUAAUACCCAUAAAACCUAGCGGUCAAACAAGGAAAUUAGAAACUUUAAAUAAGGUCUGUGUUUCGGGAAGGCUUACCAUGGCGUGAAGUUUUGAUAACCGUGUAAAUCUCUCUAGGACAAGGUGACUUUUAUCAAUAUAUUAGCCUGUAUUUACACUCAGUAAAAAAAAAAAAAUGCUAAUUAGCCUCAAAGAAGACAUCAUGCAAGACUUCAAAACCCUGCAUCUCAUCUCUAGCUGAUAUCUAACAGGUAUUGAUCCUACAGGUCUCCUCUAGCUGACACCUAACAGGUAUUGAUCCUGCAGGUCUCCUCUAGCUGAUAUCUAACAGGUAUUGAUCCUGCAGGUCUCCUCUAGCUGAUACCUAACAGGUAUUGAUCCUGCAGGUCUCCUCUAGCUGAUAUCUAACAGGUAUUGAUCCUACAGGUCUCCUCUAGCUGAUAUCUAACAGGUAUUGAUCCUGCAGGUCUCCUCUAGCUGAUACCUAACAGGUAUUGAUCCUGCAGGUCUCCUCUAGCUGAUACCUUUUCUAACAGGUAUUGAUCCUGCAGGUCUCCUCUAGCUGAUAUCUAACAGGUAUUGAUCCUGCAGGUCUCCUCUAGCUGAUACCUUUACUAACAGGUAUUGUGUCAAUUUAAAACCUGCACAAGACAGUUAACAGAAUUGUCCGUUUAAAGAAAUCUAGACAAUUUCUUCAUUACUACAUUUAACUAACAUUAGAUAGUUGAUCCAGAGAUUCUGACCUUUGCCUCGAUUCGUCAGUCUCAUCCAGAUCAUCCAGAGCCGUACCUUCAGGCUCUGAUCAGGCCCUACACCCAAACAAGGGCACUGCGUUCAUCCACCUCUGGCCUGCUGGCCCCCCUACCUCUGAGGAAGCACAGUUCCCGCUCAGCCCAGUCAAAACUGUUCGCUGCUCUGGCACCCCAAUGGUGGAACAAGCUCCCUCACGACGCCAGGACAGCGGAGUCAAUCACCACCUUCCGGAGACACCCGAAACCCCACCUCUUUAAGGAAUACCUGGGAUAGGAUAAAGUAAUCCUUCUACCCCCCCUAAAAGAUUUAGAUGCACUAUUGUAAAGUGGUUGUUCCACUGGAUAUCAUAAGGUGAAUGCACCAAUUUGUAAGUCGCUCUGGAUAAGAGCGUCUGCUAAAUGACUUAAAUGUAAAUGUAAAUCAUCAUGGAAUUUGUAGUUCUUUAUGAUAUCCACAUUAGCAGCUAAUUAGCAUUUCAUUGGGGGGGAAAUUCAGGCUAAUAUAUUGAUAAAAGUCACCUUGUCCAAGAGAGAUUUACAUGGUUAUCAAAACGUCACGCCAUGGUAAGCCUACACGAAAUACAGCCCUUAUUUUAAGUGUUUCUAAAAUCCCCUACGGGGAAAAAUGACUGGUGGAAAAACGAUUGGAACCAUUUCCUUGUUUGACCGCUAGGUUUUAUGGGUAUUAUGACUCAUACUGUGGUACUCUAUGCCUACGAAAAUACAGCCAUGGUCACCUUCGAUGCAACUGGUUUGCAUCUCUCUGUCACCCCAGAGCUCACUGCCAUGGUUACCGCCAGUAAAUCAGUCUCUCUCUCUCCCUCUCACACACACCCAGACACUGUUGCACUAUGAAGUUAUUCUGCUCAAACAAUGCACUAGUAAAAGUGUUUCCUGUAGAUUGUUUAGUCACUGGAUGUUUAGUAAAGAACAGUAGAGUGGUGUAGAGAACAGUAGAAUGGUGUAGAGAACAGUAGAAUGGUGUAGAGUAGAGAACAGAGUGGUGUAGAGUAGAGAACAGUAGCGUAGAGUGGUGUAGAGAACAGUAGAGUAGAGAACAGUAGAGUGGUGUAGAGUAGAGAACAGUAGAGUGGUGUAGAGUAGAGAACAGUAGAGUGGGUAGAGUAGAGAACAGUAGAGUGGUGUAGAGUAGAGAACAGUAGAGUGGUGUAGAGUAGAGAACAGUAGAGUGGUGUAGUGUAGAGAACAGUAGAGUGGUGUAGAGUAGAGAACAGUAGAGUGGUGUGUAGAGAACAGUAGAGUGGUGUAGAGGAGAGACCAGUAGAGUGGUGUAGCGUAGAGAACAGUAGAGUGGUGUAGAGUAGAGAACAGUAGAGUGGUGUGGUGUAGAGUAGAGAACAGUAGAGUGGUGUAGAGUAGAGAACAGUAGAGUGGUGUAGAGUGGAGUGGUGUAGAAUACAGAACAGUAGAGUGGUGUAGAGAACAGUAGAGUGGUGUAGAGUAGAGAACAGUAGAGUGGUGUAGAGUAGAGAACAGUAGAGUGGUGUAGAGAACAGUAGAGGGGUGUAGAGUAGAGAACAGUAGAGUGGUGUAGAGUAGAGAACAGUAGAGUGGUGUAGAGUAGAGAACAGUAGAGUGGUGUAGAGUAGAGAACAGUAGAGUGGUGUAGAGUAGAGAACAGUAGAGUGGUGUAGAAUAGAGAACAGUAGAGUGGUGUAGAGUAGAGAACAGUAGAGUGGUGUAGAAUAGAGAACAGUAGAGUGGUGUAGAGUAGAGAACAGUAGAGUGGUGUAGAAUAGAGAACAGUAGAGUGGUGUAGAGAACAGUAGAGUGGUGUAGAGUGGUGUAGAGUAGAGAACAGUAGAGUGGUGUAGAGUAGAGAACAGUAGAGUGGUGUAGAAAACAGUAGAGUGGUGUAGAGUGGUGUAGAGUAGAGAACAGUAGAGUGGUGUAGAGUAGAGUGGUGUAGAGUAGAGAACAGUAGAGUGGUGUAGAGUAGCGAACAGUAGAGUGGUGUAGAGUAGAGAACAGUAGAGUGGUGUAGAGGAGAGAACAGUAGAGUGGUGUAGGAUAGAGAACAGUAGAGUAGAGAACAGUAGAAUGGUGUAGAAUAUGUUUAGGGGAGGGAAUGUUCUGUAGUAGUGUAUGUGUAGGGAUUGUUCUGUAGUAGUGUAUGUGAAGGGGAGGGAAAGUUCUGUAGUAGUGUAUGUGUAGGGGAGGGAAUGUUCUGUAGUAGUGUAUGUGUAGGGGAGGGAAUGUUCUGUAGUAGUGUAUGUGUAGGGGAGGGAAUGUUCUGUAGUAGUGUAUGUGUAGGGGAGGGAAUGUUCUGUAGUAGUGUAUGUGUAGGGGAGGGAAUGUUCUGUAGUAGUGUAUGUGUAGGGGAGGGAAUGUUCUGUAGUAGUGUAUGUGUAGGGAAUGUUCUGUAGUAGUGUAUGUGUAGGGAAUGUUCUGUAGUAGUGUAUGUGUAGGGAAUGUUCUGUAGUAGUGUAUGUGUAGGGGAGGGAAUGUUCUGUAGUAGUGUAUGUGUAGGGGAGGGAAUGUUCUGUAGUAGUGUAUGUGUAGGGGAGGGAAUGUUCUGUAGUAGUGUAUGUGUAGGGAAUGUUCUGUAGUAGUGUAUGUGUAGGGAAUGUUAUGUAGUAGUGUAUGUGUAGGGGAGGGAAUGUUCUGUAGUAGUGUAUGUGUAGGGGAGGGAAUGUUCUGUAGUAGUGUAUGUGUAGGGGAGGGAAUGUUCUGUAGUAGUGUAUGUGUAGGGAAUGUUCUGUAGUAGUGUAUGUGUAGGGGAGGGAAUGUUCUGUAGUAGUGUAUGUGUAGGGGAGGGAAUGUUCUGUAGUAGUGUAUGUGUAGGGGAGGGAAUGUUCUGUAAUAGUGUAUGUGUAGGGGAGGGAAUGUUCUGUAGUAGUGUAUCUGGAGGGGAGGGAAUGUUCUGUAGUAGUGUAUGUGUAGGGUAGGGAAUGUUCUGUAGUAGUGUAUGUGUAGGGGAGGGAAUGUUCUGUAGUAGUGUAUGUGGAGGGGAGGGAAUGUUCUGUAGUAGUGUAUGUGUAGGGGAGGGAAUGUUCUGUAGUAGUGUAUGUGUAGGGGAGGGAAUGUUCAGUAGUAGUGUAUGUGUUGGGGAGGGAAUGUUCUGUAGUAGUGUAUGUGUAGGGGAGGGAAUGUUCUGUAGUAGUGUAUGUGUAGGGAAUGUUCUGUAGUAGUGUAUGUGUAGGGGAGGGAAUGUUCUGUAGUAGUGUAUGUGUAGGGGAGGGAAUGUUCAGUAGUAGUGUAUGUGUUGGGGAGGGAAUGUUCUGUAGUAGUGUAUGUGAAGGGGAGGGAAUGUUCUGUAGUAGUGUAUGUGUAGGGGAGGGAAUGUUCUGUAGUAUGUGUAGGGGAGGGAAUGUUCUGUAGUAGUGUAUGUGUAGGGAAUGUUCUGUAGUAGUGUAUGUGUAGGGGAGGGAAUGUUCUGUAGUAGUGUAUGUGUAGGGGAGGGAAUGUUCAGUAGUAGUGUAUGUGUUGGGGAGGGAAUGUUCUGUACUAGUGUAUGUGAAGGGGAGGGAAUGUUCUGUAGUAGUGUAUGUGUAGGGGAAGGGAAUGUUCUGUAGUUUGUGUAGGGUAGGGAAUGUUCUGUAGUAGUGUAUGUGUAGGGGAGGGAAUGUUCUGUAGUAGUGUAUGUGUAGGGGAGGGAAUGUUCUGUAGUAGUGUAUGUGUAGGGGAGGGAAUGUUCUGUAGUAGUGUAUGUGUAGGGAAUGUUCUGUAGUAGUGUAUAUCUAGGGAAUGUUCUGUAGUAGUGUAUGUGUAGCGGAGGGAAUGUUCUGUAGUAGUGCAUGUGUAGGGGAGGGAAUGUUCUGUAGUAGUGUAUGUGUAGGGGAGGGAAUGUUCUGUAGUAGUGUAUGUGUAGGGGAGGCAAUGUUCAGUAGUAGUGUAUGUGUAGGGGAGGGAAUGUUCUGUAGUAGUGUAUGUGUAGGGGUGGCAAUGUUCAGUAGUAGUGUAUGUGUUGGGAAGGGAAUGUUCUGUAGUAGUGUAUGUGUAGGGGAGGGAAUGUUCUGUAGUAGUGUAUGUGUAGGGAAUGUUCUGUAGUAGUGUAUGUGUAGGGGAGGGAAUGUUCUGUAGUAGUGUAUGUGUAGGGGAGGGAAUGUUCUGUAGUAGUGUAUGUGUAGGGGAGGGAAUGUUCUGUAGUAGUGUAUGUGUAGGGGAGGGAAUGUUCUGUAGUAGUGUAUGUGUAGGGGAGGGAAUGUUCUGUAGUAGUGUAUGUGUAGGGAAUGUUCUGUAGUAGUGUAUGUGUAGGGAAUGUUAUGUAGUAGUGUAUGUGUAGGGGAGGGAAUGUUCUGUAGUAGUGUAUGUGUAGGGAAUGUUCUAUAGUAGUGUAUGUGUAGGGUAGGGAAUGUUCUGUAGUAGUGUAUGUGUAGGGAAUGUUCUGUAGUAGUGUAUGUGUAGGGGAGGGAAUGUUCUGUAGUAGUGUAUGUGUAGCGGAGGGAAUGUUCUGUAGUAGUGUAUGUGUAGGGGAGGGAAUGUUCUGUAGUAUUGUAUGUGUAGGGAAUGUUCUCUAGUAGUGUAUGUGUAGGGGAGGAGAUGUUCUAUAGUAGUGUAUGUGUAGGGUAGGGAAUGUUCUGUAGUAGUGUAUGUGUAGGGUAGGGAAUGUUCUGUCGUAGUGUAUGUGUAGGGGAGGGAAUGUUCUGUAGUAGUGUAUGUGUAGGGGAGGGAAUGUUCUGUAGUAGUGUAUGUGUAGGGAACGUUCUGUAGUCGUGUAUGUGUAGGGAAUGUUCUGUAGUAGUCUAUGUGUAGGGGAGGGAAUGUUCUGUAGUAGUGUAUGUGUAGGGAAUGUUCUGUAGUAGUGUAUGUGUAGGGGAGGGAAUGUUCUGUAAUAGUGUAUGUGUAGGGGAGGGAAUGUUCUGUAGUAGUGUAUGUGUAGGGGAGGGAAUGUUCUGUAGUAGUGUAUGUGAAGGGGAGGGAAUGUUAUGUAGUAGUGUAUGUGUAGGGGAGGGAAUGUUCUGUAGUAGUGUAUGUGUAGGGGAGGGAAUGUUCUGUAGUAGUGUAUGUGUAGGGGAGGCAAUGUUCAGUAGUAGUGUAUGUGUUGGGAAGGGAAUGUUCUGUAGUAGUGUAUGUGUAGGGGAGGGAAUGUUCUGUAGUAGUGUAUGUGUAGGGAAUGUUCUGUAGUAGUGUAUGUGUAGGGGAGGGAAUGUUCUGUAGUAGUGUAUGUGUAGGGGAGGGAAUGUUCUGUAGUAGUGUAUGUGUAGGGGAGGGAAUGUUCUGUACUAGUGUAUGUGUAGGGUAGGGAAUGUUCUGUAAUAGUGUAUGUGUAGGGGAGGGAAUGUUCUGUAGUAGUGUAUGUGUAGGGUAGGGAAUGUUCUGUAGUAGUGUAUGUGUAGGGGAGGGAAUGUUCUGUAGUAGUGUAUGUGUAGGGGAGGGAAUGUACUGUAGUAGUGUAUGUGUAGGGGAGGGAAUGUUCUGUAGUAGUGUAUGUGUAGUGGAGGGAAUGUUCUGUAGUAGUGUAUUUGGAGGGGAGGGAAUGUUCUGUAGUAUUGUAUGUGUAGGGGAGGGAAUGUUCUGUAGUAGUGUAUGUGUAGGGGAGGGAAUGUUCAGUAGUAGUGUAUGUGUUGGGGAGGUAAUGUUCUGUAGUAGUGUAUGUGUAGGGGAGGGAAUGUUCUGUAGUAGUGUAUGUGUAGGGGAGGGAAUGUUCUGUAGUAGUGUAUGUGGAGGGGAUGUUCUGUAGUAGUGUAUGUGUAGGGGAGGGAAUGUUCUGUAGUAGUGUAUGUGUAGGGGAGGGAAUGUUCUGUAGUAGUGUAUGUGUAGGGGAGGGAAUGUUCUGUAGUAGUGUAUGUGUAGGGGAGGGAAUGUUCUGUAGUAGUGUAUGUGUAUGUGUAGGGAAUCUUCUGUAGUAGUGUAUGUGUAGGGGAGGGAAUGUUCUGUAGUAGUGUAUGUAUAGGGAAUGUUCUGUAGUAGUGUAUGUGUAGGGAAUGUUCUGUAGUAGUGUAUGUGUAGGGGAGGGAAUGUUCUGUAGUAGUGUAUGUGUAGGGAAUGUUCUGUAGUAGUGUAUAUCUAGGGAAUGUUCUGUAGUAGUGUAUGUGUAGGGUAGGGAAUGUUCUGUAGUAGUGUAUGUGUAGGGGAGGGAAUGUUCUGUAGUAGUGUAUGUGUAGGGGAGGGAAUGUUCUGUAGUAGUGUAUGUGUAGGGAAUGUUCUGUAGUAGUGUAUGUGUAGGGGAGGGAAUGUUCUGUAGUAGUGUAUGUGGAGGGGAAUGUUCUGUAGUAGUGUAUGUGUAGG
Molecule: long non-coding RNA, 8203 nt
Filed under: Salmo salar (Atlantic salmon)
Lineage: Eukaryota; Metazoa; Chordata; Actinopteri; Salmoniformes; Salmonidae
Description: lncRNA (ENSSSAG00000113427.1)
Rfam family: UnaL2 LINE 3' element (bases 2367-2420)
Source: RNAcentral